CGCGUAGGCGGAUUGUCAAGUCUGAUGUGAAAGCCCGGGGCUCAACCCCGGAAGUGCAUUGGAAACUGGCAGUCUUGAGUUCGGGAGAGGAAGGCAGAAUUCCUGGUGUAGGGGUGAAAUCCGUAGAUAUCAGGAGGAAAAUCAGUGGCGAAGGCGGCCUUCUGGAACGUAACUGACGCUGAGGCGCGAAAGCGUGGGGAGCAAACA
This 207-nucleotide ribosomal RNA is filed under the name uncultured bacterium. Its description in RNAcentral is "partial 16S ribosomal RNA". It matches the Rfam family "Bacterial small subunit ribosomal RNA", at positions 568 to 774 of the family's 1533-position model. The record is from RNAcentral.